Zootermopsis nevadensis is the source of this 58-nucleotide non-coding RNA. NCBI's taxonomy places the organism in Eukaryota, Metazoa, Arthropoda, Insecta, Blattodea, Termopsidae. The record is from Rfam.
UGGUCUAGCGGUUAGAACGCUGGGCUUGUAAUCCUGGGGUCUCGGGUUCGAUUCCCGG